RNAcentral lists this ribosomal RNA (253 nucleotides) under uncultured bacterium. RNAcentral's name for it is "partial 16S ribosomal RNA". It matches the Rfam family "Bacterial small subunit ribosomal RNA", at positions 524 to 776 of the family's 1533-position model. The record is from RNAcentral.
UACGUAGGGUGCGAGCGUUAAUCGGAAUUACUGGGCGUAAAGCGUGCGCAGGCGGCUUCGCAAGUCAGGCGUGAAAUCCCCGGGCUUAACCUGGGAAUGGCGUCUGAAACUACGGGGCUGGAGUGUGGCAGAGGGAGGUAGAAUUCCACGUGUAGCGGUGAAAUGCGUAGAUAUGUGGAGGAAUACCGAUGGCGAAGGCAGCCUCCUGGGCCAACACUGACGCUGAGGAGCGAAAGCCAGGGGAGCAAACGGG